This 1465-nucleotide ribosomal RNA is filed under the name uncultured Microcystis sp. RNAcentral's name for it is "bacterial SSU rRNA". It matches the Rfam family "Bacterial small subunit ribosomal RNA". The record is from RNAcentral. Lineage: Bacteria; Bacillati; Cyanobacteriota; Cyanophyceae; Chroococcales; Microcystaceae.
AGGGUUUGAUCAUGGCUCAGGAUGAACGCUGGCGGCGUGCCUAACACAUGCAAGUCGAACGGGAAUCUUCGGAUUCUAGUGGCGGACGGGUGAGUAACGCGUAAGAAUCUAACUUCAGGACGGGGACAACAGUUGGAAACGACUGCUAAUACCCGAUGUGCCGCAAGGUGAAACCUAAUUGGCCUGAAGAAGAGCUUGCGUCUGAUUAGCUAGUCGGUGGGGGUAAGAGCCUACCAAGGCGACGAUCAGUAGCUGGUCUGAGAGGAUGAGCAGCCACACUGGGACUGAGACACGGCCCAUGACUCCUACGGGAGGCAGCAGUGGGGAAUUUUCCGCAAUGGGCGAAAGCCUGACGGAGCAACGCCGCGUGAGGGAGGAAGGUCUUUGGAUUGUAAACCUCUUUUCUCAAGGAAGAAGUUCUAGACAGGUACUUGAGGAAUCAGCCUCGGCUAACUCCGUGCCAGCAGCCGCGGUAAUACGGGGGAGGCAAGCGUUAUCCGGAAUUAUUGGGCGUAAAGCGUCCGCAGGUGGUCAGCCAAGUCUGCUGUCAAAUCAGGUUGCUUAACGACCUAAAGGCGGUGGAAACUGGCAGACUAGAGAGCAGUAGGGGUAGCAGGAAUUCCCAGUGUAGCGGUGAAAUGCGUAGAGAUUGGGAAGAACAUCGGUGGCGAAAGCGUGCUACUGGGCUGUAUCUGACACUCAGGGACGAAAGCUAGGGGAGCGAAAGGGAUUAGAUACCCCUGUAGUCCUAGCCGUAAACGAUGGAUACUAGGCGUGGCUUGUAUCGACCCGAGCCGUGCCGAAGCUAACGCGUUAAGUAUCCCGCCUGGGGAGUACGCACGCAAGUGUGAAACUCAAAGGAAUUGACGGGGGCCCGCACAAGCGGUGGAGUAUGUGGUUUAAUUCGAUGCAACGCGAAGAACCCUUACCAAGACUUGACAUGUCGCGAACCCUGGUGAAAGCUGGGGGUGCCUUCGGGAGCGCGAACACAGGUGGUGCAUGGCUGUCGUCAGCUCGUGUCGUGAGAUGUUGGGUUAAGUCCCGCAACGAGCGCAACCCUCGUUCUUAGUUGCCAGCAUUAAGUUGGGGACUCUAAGGAGACUGCCGGUGACAAACCGGAGGAAGGUGGGGAUGACGUCAAGUCAGACAUGCCCCUUACGUCUUGGGCGACACACGUACUACAAUGGUCGGGACAAAGGGCAGCGAACUCGCGAGAGCCAGCGAAUCCCAGCAAACCCGGCCUCAGUUCAGAUUGCAGGCUGCAACUCGCCUGCAUGAAGGAGGAAUCGCUAGUAAUCGCCGGUCAGCAUACGGCGGUGAAUUCGUUCCCGGGGCUCUUGUACAGACCACCGCCCGUCACACCACGGAAGCUGGUCACGCCCCGAAGUCAUUACCUCAACCUUUCGAGGAGGGGGAUGCCUAAGGCAGGGCUAGUGACUGGGGUGAAGUCGUAACAAGGUAACCC